ACAGGUGCUGCAUGGCUGUCGUCAGCUCGUGUCGUGAGAUGUUCGGUUAAGUCCGGCAACGAGCGCAACCCACGUCCUUAGUUACCAGCAUUUAGUUGGGUACCCUAGGGAGACCGCCGGUGAUAAGCCGGAGGAAGGUGUGGAUGACGUCAAGUCCUCAUGGCCCUUACGGGUUGGGCUACACACGUGCUACAAUGGCGAUGACAAUGGGUUAAUCCCAAAAAGUUAUCUCAGUUCGGAUUGUCCUCUGCAACUCGAGGGCAUGAAGUUGGAAUCGCUAGUAAUCGCGUAACAGCAUGACGCGGUGAAUACGUUCCCGGGCCUUGUACACACCGCCCGUCACACCAUGGGAAUUGGGUCUA
This 362-nucleotide ribosomal RNA is filed under the name uncultured Alphaproteobacteria bacterium. RNAcentral's name for it is "bacterial SSU rRNA". It matches the Rfam family "Bacterial small subunit ribosomal RNA", at positions 1034 to 1419 of the family's 1533-position model. Lineage: Bacteria; Pseudomonadati; Pseudomonadota; Alphaproteobacteria. The record is from RNAcentral.